AAGGUUAGGUAAUCGCGGUCAACUUCUGUUGACUGAGGAAAGUCCAUGCUCGCACAAUGCUGAAAUGCUUGUAGUGAUCGUGCUUAGCGAAACAAUAAGCUAAGGUAACUUCACCGUUAACGGCGGGAAAAACUUCUAAGGCUACAGCUAUGAAGGAGUAUCCCAUAACGUGCCACAGAGACGAUUUUUUGCAGAAAUGCAAAAACUGGAACGCUGGUAAACCCCUCGAGCGAGCAACCCAAAUUUGGUAGGGGCACUUCUUGAAAGGAACGACCUUUGCGUCGGGUAACGGACAAGAAGGCAUGUAAAUGCAGAUAGAUGAUUACCCCAUCAUCGAUGGUACCUAUCAAUCGAUGAUGACAGAACAUGGCUUAUCGAU
Molecule: non-coding RNA, 379 nt
Organism: Facklamia hominis
Lineage: Bacteria; Bacillati; Bacillota; Bacilli; Lactobacillales; Aerococcaceae
Rfam family: Bacterial RNase P class B
About the family: Ribonuclease P (RNase P) is a ubiquitous endoribonuclease, found in archaea, bacteria and eukarya as well as chloroplasts and mitochondria. Its best characterised activity is the generation of mature 5'-ends of tRNAs by cleaving the 5'-leader elements of precursor-tRNAs.
Source: Rfam